This 62-nucleotide transfer RNA is filed under the name Apis mellifera (honey bee). Its description in RNAcentral is "partial tRNA-Leu". The record is from RNAcentral. Lineage: Eukaryota; Metazoa; Arthropoda; Insecta; Hymenoptera; Apidae.
UUAAGAUUCAAAUAUAAAGUAUUUUUAAACUUUUAUUAAAAUUAAUAAAUUAAUAUAAAAUA